CGUAGGGGGCCAGCGUUGUCCGGAUUCAUUGGGCGUAAAGCGCGUGUAGGCGGCCAGGUAGGUCCGAUGUGAAAUCUGGAGGCUCAACCUCCAGCUGUCAUUGGAAACCAUCUGGCUAGAGUCCGGAAGAGGAGAGUGGAAUUCCUGGUGUAGCGGUGAAAUGCGCAGAUAUCAGGAAGAACACCGAUGGCGAAGGCAGCUCUCUGGGACGGUACUGACGCUGAGACGCGAAAGCGUGGGGAGCGAACAGGAUUAGAUACCCUGGUAGUCCACGCCGUAAACGAUGGGCGCUAGGUGUGGGCGGUGUCGACUCCGUCCGUGCCGAAGCUAACGCAUUAAGCGCCCCGCCUGGGGAGUACGGCCGCAAGGCUA
This 372-nucleotide ribosomal RNA is filed under the name uncultured organism. RNAcentral's name for it is "bacterial SSU rRNA". It matches the Rfam family "Bacterial small subunit ribosomal RNA", at positions 526 to 896 of the family's 1533-position model. The record is from RNAcentral.